GGCACGCCUAACACAUGCAAGUCGAACGCAGUAGCAAUACUGAGUGGCAAACGGGUGAGUAUAAUGUGGGAAUCUGCCUUCUGGUUUGGAAUAACACGGGGAAACUUGUGCUAAUACCGAAUAAGCCUUUACGGGGAAAGUUUUAAUGCCGGAAGAUGAGCCCGCACUUGAUUAGCUAGUUGGUAAGGUAAAAGCUUACCAAGGCAACGAUCAAUAGCUGUUCUUAGAGGAAGACCAGCCACAUUGGGACUGAGACACGGCCCAGACUCCUACGGGAGGCAGCAGUGGGGAAUCUUGCACAAUGGGGGAAACCCUGAUGCAGCGAUGCCGCGUGAGUGAAGAAGGCCCUUGGGUUGUAAAACUCUUUCGUCGGGGAAGAAAAUGACUGUACCCGAAUAAGAAGGUC
This 406-nucleotide ribosomal RNA is filed under the name uncultured bacterium. RNAcentral's name for it is "bacterial SSU rRNA". It matches the Rfam family "Bacterial small subunit ribosomal RNA", at positions 41 to 493 of the family's 1533-position model. The record is from RNAcentral.